Herpailurus yagouaroundi (jaguarundi) is the source of this 549-nucleotide long non-coding RNA. RefSeq lists it as uncharacterized. NCBI's taxonomy places the organism in Eukaryota, Metazoa, Chordata, Mammalia, Carnivora, Felidae. The transcript has 2 exons. The record is from RefSeq and is a predicted model, not a curated record.
GUGGUGAGCGCCGGCGUCCUCCAGCCCGCUCGGCCACGCCGGCCCAGCCUGCCAGUACCCGGAACACAGCCCCUUCUCCAGGGCAGCCCCGCGGGACCCCCCUGCUCCCGAUGCCCUUUUCUCUUCAGCCUGCGGCCCUUCAGCGUCCUCAAGUUGCUCCUGCUGCCAUCCUGGCCCACCUGGGGCACCAGGUUCUGAGGGCACCACCUUCUCGCGUCUGUGCCCACUUCUCUCCGCAAUGGUGACAGCUCCUAGCUAGCCUCCCCCAACCCGUGUGAUCUUCGCAAAAAACAAAAACAAAAACAAAAAAAACCCAAAAAAACAAAACCCAGAAACUUCCCUCUGUAGUUCCUGCAGGCUCUGCUGGCUCUGGUCCCACAGAUCCCGUGUCUCCAGCCACCUUUCCACUCCGUGAAUGAGAGUAGUGUUAUUUACCGCAGCUCCCGGGCUCCUGUUAACCACACCCCUUGCACGCAGACCCUUGCACCUGGGCCUCUAGGCCAGCCACACUCCACUCUGAAACAUGCCCCCGUGGUCCCACCUUCUAUA